AACUUAGGAUAACAAAAACCAAGAACCUUCAAAGUUCGAAAUAAGGGUGUAAGCCC
Molecule: transfer RNA, 56 nt
Filed under: Anolis cristatellus
Lineage: Eukaryota; Metazoa; Chordata; Lepidosauria; Squamata; Anolidae
Description: partial tRNA-Trp
Source: RNAcentral